UAAUAUAAAAAUAAUAGAGGUACAAAGUUUAAUACUUUGUUUAAAAGGGAAGUAAGUGAAAAUCUUAUACGGUCCCGCCGCUGUAAUGGGGAGAAGCUUCUUAAAGCGCCACUGACGAAUGUUGGGAAGGCUGAAGCAACUGUGAACCAAAGUCAGAAGACCUGCCUAUAUUAAUACACUAGA
RNAcentral lists this non-coding RNA (183 nucleotides) under Clostridium sulfidigenes. The record is from RNAcentral. Lineage: Bacteria; Bacillati; Bacillota; Clostridia; Eubacteriales; Clostridiaceae.